Oncorhynchus mykiss (rainbow trout) is the source of this 466-nucleotide non-coding RNA. The record is from RefSeq and is a predicted model, not a curated record. NCBI's taxonomy places the organism in Eukaryota, Metazoa, Chordata, Actinopteri, Salmoniformes, Salmonidae.
GGAUGGCUCGGAACUCCUCGUCCUCACACAGGUCUAAAGGUCAGAGGUUAGAGGUUACACAAGGAAAACACACACACACACACAGAGGAUGGCUCGGAACUUCUCGUCCUCACACAGGUCUAAAGGCUGCAGCGUGGAGCGGCUGCCAUCCGUCAGUGUCUCUCAGGUCCAUCCUGGCCCCUCCCUCCAGCAGAAGCUCUGCAGCCUGGACGUAACCGUUAGCUGCUGCAAUGUGGAGCUGCAUGAGUGACAGGAGAGGAGACCAAUGGAACAGAGUCACUUCAGAGCAGGGGUGUUUCAAUCUCACCCGACCAGAGAUCUACCAGACAGGCUGGGAUGGGACCGCGGCAGGAAGCUUACUCGGAUGCAAAAUGUAUGUUGAUUUAUGUAUGCUCUCUUUACGCCUGCCCACUAAAUUGAGAAAUAAACCUCGAGUGAACUCAUCUUCUCAUCUGUAUUUCUAAGA